AUGCUCGCUUGAGCAGCACAUACACUAAAAUUGGAAGGAUACGAGAAGAUUAGCAUGGCCCCUGCACAAGGAUGACACACAAAUUCAUGAAGCGUUCCAUAUUUAA
This is a small nuclear RNA of Heterocephalus glaber (naked mole-rat), 106 nucleotides long. The record is from Ensembl. NCBI's taxonomy places the organism in Eukaryota, Metazoa, Chordata, Mammalia, Rodentia, Bathyergidae.